Molecule: long non-coding RNA, 158 nt
Organism: Juglans microcarpa x Juglans regia
Lineage: Eukaryota; Viridiplantae; Streptophyta; Magnoliopsida; Fagales; Juglandaceae
Exons: 2
Source: RefSeq, a predicted model, not a curated record
UGGAUGGGAAGAUUUUCAAUCAUGGAGAUUAUAAUUUCUUUUGCAGAAUGCUGAUAGGCCUAUGUCCAAUCCUCUUCCACCAUAGUCUGAAGCUUUUUAUAGUUAUUAGAAUGCAUCCUCAACAGAGCAUAUUUUAAAGAAGAAAAAUAUGCGACCAU